RNAcentral lists this ribosomal RNA (244 nucleotides) under uncultured bacterium. Its description in RNAcentral is "partial small subunit ribosomal RNA". It matches the Rfam family "Bacterial small subunit ribosomal RNA", at positions 26 to 285 of the family's 1533-position model. The record is from RNAcentral.
AGAAUCAACGCUGGCGGCGUGCCUAACACAUGCAAGUCGAACGAGAAAGUGGAGCAAUCCAUGAGUAAAGUGGCGCACGGGUGAGUAACACGUGACUACCUACCCUCGAGUGGGGAAUAACCUCGGGAAACCGGGGCUAACACCGCAUAAUAUCUACGGAUCAAAUGCGAAAGCAGCUUGAGGAGGGGGUCGCGGCCGAUUAGCUAGUUGGUGAGGUAAUGGCUCACCAAGGCAAUGAUCGGUA